GAAGAUUUCAAUGGUAAACAGCGGCUCUUUGGCCUGAUACGAAGCAGCCAUAGCCGUCAAUGGUCACCUUCAAACCGAAGCUAGUUGUACCAAUCUUCUUGUCUCCUCUCUCUCAGCGCUUCCCCAAUCUCUUUUCUUCCUCUUUCUCGUCUUCUACUAUAAGCUCACAAGAUGACUUCAACGCUGCUCUCUCUAACGAGGAAUCUUUACUAGCAGGCAAAUUUCACUCCCUAAUCAAAGACCACCACCGCAAAAACCCAAGCCUUACCUUCCCCACCGUUCCGUCUCUAUCACUUGAAUUUUCUCAAAUCUCCACCACCCAUUUCACCCCCAUCUCCCCCUUCGUCGUCCGUCGCGUCAUCGAGAAAUGCCGCGCUGUACGGCACGGCAUCCCUUUCCUCCAGGCCCUUGCCUUCUUCAACUGGGCCACCACUCGGGAUGGAUUCUUCCCCUCUCCCGAACCUUAUAACGAGAUGAUAUCCCUCGCCGGUAAGGUCAGGCAAUUCGAUUUGGUUUGGAAUGUAAUCGAUUCAAUGAAAGCUAGAAAUGUUGAAAUUAGAAUCGAGACCUUUUCAAUUCUUAUUCGCCGCUACGUUAGUGCUGGAUUGGCUGUGGAGGCGGUACACGCGUUUAACCGUAUGGAGGAUUAUAAUUGUAAGCCUGAUAAGAUUGCAUUUUCGAUUUUGAUUAGUAUUCUGUGUAGGAAACGAAGAGCUAGCGAAGCUCAGUCAUUUUUUGAUAGUUUAAAGGAUAAAUUUGAAGCUGAUGUUAUUGUGUACACCAACCUGGUUCGUGGGUGGUGUCGUGCUGGAAAUAUACCAGAAGCCGAGAGGGUGUUCAGGGAAAUGAAAAUGGCUGGAAUUAAGCCCAAUGUGUAUACAUACAGUAUUGUCAUCGAUGCUUUAUGUAGGUGUGGGCAAAUUACUCGUGCUUGUGAUGUUUUUGCAGAGAUGCUUGAUGUGGGCUGUGAACCAAAUUCCAUAACUUUCAAUAAUUUAAUGAGGGUACAUGUUAAAGCUGGCAGGACUGAGAAGGUUUUGCAAGUGUAUAAUCAAAUGAAGAGGAUGGGAUGUUCUCCUGAUACGAUAACAUAUAAUUUUAUUAUACAGACUCAUUGCAGAGAAGAUAAUCUUGAGGAAGCUUUGAAGGUGCUUAAUUCAAUGGUUAAGAAAGGGUGUAGGCCAAAUGCUUCUACUUUUAAUACUUUAUUUGAAUGCAUUGCCAAGUUGGGUGAUGUGAAUGGUGCACACAGAAUGUAUGCUAAGAUGAAGGAGUUGAAGUGUAAGCCCAAUACUGUGACAUACAAUAUCCUAAUGCGAAUGUUUGCUGACUCAAAAUCGACUGACAUGGUUCUGAAGCUGAAGAAGGAAAUGGAUGAGAAUGAUGUUGAACCUAAUGUGAAUACCUACUGUGUUUUGAUUUCAAUGUAUUGUGGAAUGGGGCACUGGAAUAAUGCAUACAAGUUCUUCAGGGAGAUGAUUGAAGAGAAAUGCAUGAAACCAAGUCUGCCAGUUUAUGAGAUGGUCCUGCAGCAACUUAGAAAAGCAGGGCAGUUAAAGAAGCAUGAAGAAUUGGUGGAAGUUAUGGUUGACAGAGGAUUUAUUAGUCGUCCUUUGUAGAAGAAGUUAUGCCUUCUUCACCCAUAAGCUAAAUUAGGCGAUCUUUGUUUCUUUUUGUAGCUUAAUAUUUCUCGUUUAAGGUGUACAUAUUCAUGUUUUGGUGAUUCUAAAGGUUAAGGCUGUAAACUAGAAACAUUGUCCUUUUUCAUCAUGUAGAAGAGGGUUUUAAAUUUAUUCAAUUCGAGAAUGACUAGCUAUGCAUUGAUUAUGAAUAUAUCAACUCUUUCCAGAUAUCAUGUUUAGUUGUAGCCUGCAAUUGACUGCUUUACAUGACCUAGACCUGACUUGCUUAAAUUGCAAUGAACCUGACCCAAACCUUCCAGAUCUCCAAUAUUUCUUACUAGGCCUUAAAAUGCAAUGUUUUGAUUAAUCGCAUAAAAAUGCAAAUAUGUUCGAUGUUACAUGGCAGUUACAACU
RNAcentral lists this unclassified non-coding RNA (2036 nucleotides) under Hevea brasiliensis (rubber tree). Lineage: Eukaryota; Viridiplantae; Streptophyta; Magnoliopsida; Malpighiales; Euphorbiaceae. The record is from RNAcentral.